RNAcentral lists this ribosomal RNA (255 nucleotides) under uncultured bacterium. Its description in RNAcentral is "partial 16S ribosomal RNA". It matches the Rfam family "Bacterial small subunit ribosomal RNA", at positions 524 to 776 of the family's 1533-position model. The record is from RNAcentral.
UACGUAGGGAGCAAGCGUUGUUCGGAUUUACUGGGCGUAAAGGGCGCGUAGGCGGCAAAUUAAAGUCAGCUGUGAAAUCUCCGAGCUUAACUCGGAACUGUCAGCUGAUACUGAUCUGCUAGAGUGCGGAAGGGGCAAUCGGAAUUCUUGGUGUAGCGGUGAAAUGCGUAGAUAUCAAGAGGAACACCUGAGGUGAAGACGGGUUGCUGGGCCGACACUGACGCUGAGUGCGCGAAAGCCAGGGGAGCAAACGGG